CAAAGAUUAGAGGUUUGCUCUAUUUAAGAGUUUGAAGGUCUUUAGUUUUUUUAACUUAAAUCUUU
RNAcentral lists this transfer RNA (65 nucleotides) under Eptatretus atami. RNAcentral describes it as "tRNA-Trp". The record is from RNAcentral. Lineage: Eukaryota; Metazoa; Chordata; Myxini; Myxiniformes; Myxinidae.